CUUCAUCUCAUCUCAUUGCCUUCAUUAAUUUUACUGCGUUCAAAUUUUGGCAAUUCCAACCUCGUCUAUCCAAGAUAAUUCACAUAACUUGCUUGAUCCAAAACUUUCUAAAUUAAAACAUACAUAGUUCAGACCGAUCCAAUAAAGAAGGUUAUUAAUUUGUGGAUUAUUUAUUUAUUUAUAUAUUUAUAUAUUUAUUUAUUUUAAUUUUUUUUUUAUUUUGAUUAUUUAAUUAUUUAUUUUAUAUAUAAUUUAUUUUAAUUAAUUUUUUAAUUAUUCAAACUAUCUAGCAAUCAACUCAUGAAAGUUUUUAUAUGCAUCACUAAAAAAAUGACUAUACUAAAAUAUUAAUCACAAAACCAUAAUUACCUAUUAUCAUAUCAAAAAAUAUGUACAAGAAUUCUUCCAAAUCUGUUGUUUAACAGACAUUAGAAAUUAAUUAUUACCUUACAAUAAUAUGGUGAAUUAUGGCCGAUCUAUUAUGGUCAUCAAUUUCCAGGCCAAGUCUUGUUUUCAUUGCUACUAGACCAUGUCCACAUCCCUCCAACACUAUCAUUUUGAUUUCUUCUAGUAGGAACACCUUCACUUUGU
RNAcentral lists this long non-coding RNA (591 nucleotides) under Physcomitrium patens. RNAcentral's name for it is "long non-coding RNA (PPAT_LNC007276)". Lineage: Eukaryota; Viridiplantae; Streptophyta; Bryopsida; Funariales; Funariaceae. The record is from RNAcentral.